Molecule: ribosomal RNA, 450 nt
Filed under: uncultured bacterium
Lineage: Bacteria
Description: partial 16S ribosomal RNA
Rfam family: Bacterial small subunit ribosomal RNA
Source: RNAcentral
CCUACGGGGGGCUGCAGUCGAGAAUCUUUCACAAUGGGGGCAACCCUGAUGGAGCGACGCCGCGUGGAGGAUAAGGUCUUCGGAUUGUAAACUCCUGUCAUGCGAGAACAAGGUUGCAGGGCUAACACCUUUGCAAAUUGAUGGUACCGCAAGAGGAAGAGACGGCUAACUCUGUGCCAGCAGCCGCGGUAAUACAGAGGUGUCAAGCGUUGUUCGGAAUGGUGGGGCGUAAACGGUGUAUGGGAGACGUGAAAGCCCGGGGCUCAACCGCGGAAUUGCAUCCGAUACUGCCAUGCUGGAGUACUGAAGAGGUGACUAGAAUUCUAGGUGUAGCAGUGAAAUGCGUAGAUAUCUAGAGGAAUACCAACGGCGAAGGCAGGUCACUGGGCAGUUACUGACACUGAGGCACGAAGGCCAGGGGAGCAAACGGGAUUAGAUACCCCUGUAGUC